RNAcentral lists this ribosomal RNA (496 nucleotides) under uncultured Desulfovibrio sp. RNAcentral describes it as "bacterial SSU rRNA". It matches the Rfam family "Bacterial small subunit ribosomal RNA", at positions 27 to 505 of the family's 1533-position model. The record is from RNAcentral. Lineage: Bacteria; Pseudomonadati; Thermodesulfobacteriota; Desulfovibrionia; Desulfovibrionales; Desulfovibrionaceae.
GAUUGAACGCUGGCGGCGUGCUUAACACAUGCAAGUCGUGCGAGAAAGGGGACUUCGGUCCCUGAGUAGAGCGGCGCACGGGUGAGUAACGCGUGGAUUAUCUACCCAGAUAUUCGGGAUAACGGCGGGAAACUGCCGCUAAUACCGGAUACGCUCCAAUUUCGGUUGGGGGAAAGGCGGCCUCUGCUUGCAAGCUGUCGUAUCUGGAUGAGUCCGCGUCCCAUUAGCUUGUUGGUGGGGUAACGGCCUACCAAGGCGACGAUGGGUAGCUGGUCUGAGAGGAUGAUCAGCCACACUGGAACUGAAACACGGUCCAGACUCCUACGGGAGGCAGCAGUGGGGAAUAUUGCGCAAUGGGGGAAACCCUGACGCAGCGACGCCGUGUGAGGGAAGAAGGCUUUCGGGUCGUAAACCUCUGUCGGGAGGGAAGAACCUUCCAGGUCUGAACAAGGCUUGGAACUGACGGUACCUCCAAAGGAAGCACCGGCUAACUCCG